Molecule: non-coding RNA, 28 nt
Filed under: Rattus norvegicus (Norway rat)
Lineage: Eukaryota; Metazoa; Chordata; Mammalia; Rodentia; Muridae
Source: RNAcentral
UAUGAUACCUGCCUUGAGCUCCCAAGCC